GGAUAACUCAGUCAGUAGAGCAUGAGCCUCUUAAUCUCAGUGUCGUGGGUUCGAGCCCCACGUUGGACG
Molecule: non-coding RNA, 69 nt
Organism: Podarcis lilfordi (Lilford's wall lizard)
Lineage: Eukaryota; Metazoa; Chordata; Lepidosauria; Squamata; Lacertidae
Source: the annotation of a GenBank genome assembly